Molecule: ribosomal RNA, 675 nt
Filed under: uncultured bacterium
Lineage: Bacteria
Description: bacterial SSU rRNA
Rfam family: Bacterial small subunit ribosomal RNA
Source: RNAcentral
CGACCAGUCACACGGGCACUGAGACACGGGCCCGACUCCUACGGGAGGCAGCAGUAAGGAAUAUUGGUCAAUGGACGAAAGUCUGAACCAGCCAUGCCGCGUGAAGGAUGACGGCCCUCUGGGUUGUAAACUUCUUUUAUCUGGGACGAAAAAAGGGCUUUCUAGCUCACUUGACGGUACCAGAGGAAUAAGCACCGACUAACUCCGUGCCAGCAGCCGCGGUAAUACGGAGGGUGCAAGCGUUAUCCGGAUUUACUGGGUUUAAAGGGUGCGUAGGUGGGUAGGUAAGUCAGUGGUGAAAUCUCCGAGCUUAACUCGGAAACUGCCAUUGAUACUAUCUAUCUUGAAUAUCCUGGAGGUGAGCGGAAUAUGUCAUGUAGCGGUGAAAUGCUUAGAUAUGACAUAGAACACCAAUUGCGAAGGCAGCUCACUACGGGAUUAUUGACACUGAGGCACGAAAGCGUGGGGAUCAAACAGGAUUAGAUACCCUGGUAGUCCACGCCCUAAACGAUGGAUACUCGACAUACGCGAUACAUUGUGUGUGUCUGAGCGAAAGCAUUAAGUAUCCCACCUGGGAAGUACGAUCGCAAGAUUGAAACUCAAAGGAAUUGACGGGGGUCCGCACAAGCGGUGGAUCAUGUGGUUCAAUUCGACGCAACGCGAAGAACCUUACCU